This 465-nucleotide ribosomal RNA is filed under the name uncultured bacterium. Its description in RNAcentral is "partial 16S ribosomal RNA". It matches the Rfam family "Bacterial small subunit ribosomal RNA", at positions 339 to 795 of the family's 1533-position model. The record is from RNAcentral.
CUACGGGCCGCGGCAGUGGGGAAUAUUGGACAAUGGGGGAAACCCUGAUCCAGCAAUGCCGCGUGUGUGAAGAAGGCCUGCGGGUUGUAAAGCACUUUCGGUUGGGAGGACUGCUUCUAGCACUAAUAUUGUUGGAAGUUGACGUUACCUUCAGAAGAAGCACCGGCUAACUCCGUGCCAGCAGCCGCGGUAAUACGGGAGGUGCAAGCGUUAAUCGGAAUUACUGGGCGUAAAGCGCGCGUAGGCGGCUAGAUCAGUCGGGUGUGAAAGCCCCGGGCUUAACCUGGGAACUGCAUCCGAUACUGUCUAGCUUGAGUACAGGAGAGGAGAGUGGAAUUCCACAUGUAGCGGUGAAAUGCGUAGAUAUGUGGAGGAACACCAAUGGCGAAGGCAGCUCUCUGGCCUGAUACUGACGCUGAGGUGCGAAAGCGUGGGGAGCAAACAGGAUUAGAUACCCCGGUAGUC